Molecule: non-coding RNA, 138 nt
Organism: Callorhinus ursinus (northern fur seal)
Lineage: Eukaryota; Metazoa; Chordata; Mammalia; Carnivora; Otariidae
Source: RefSeq, a predicted model, not a curated record
UUAAAUGUACAAUGAGUUCAGAGCCUGAGAGGGAUUCAGUGCAAAGGAUAUUGAGUCCUACAACCACAUGAGACUGAUUUCUGCUAGCAACCUGGAAGAGCUUCUGAGCAGAUUCUUCCCAGAGCCUCCAGAAAGGGA